This is a long non-coding RNA of Siniperca chuatsi (mandarin fish), 448 nucleotides long. RefSeq lists it as uncharacterized. The record is from RefSeq and is a predicted model, not a curated record. The transcript is spliced from 2 exons. Lineage: Eukaryota; Metazoa; Chordata; Actinopteri; Centrarchiformes; Sinipercidae.
GGUCCGUUCGGUUGUUCGCGCGGGCGCCUGCCUGACGCAGUUUGACAGAUUUGAGCAUGGCUCCGAAAAGACAGCAGGAGUCGGGUGCUGAGAAACGAAAGAAGAAGAAACUGCGAGAUGAUGCCCGUGCAUCACUUUCAGGGGCAAUGCUGAGAUACGUACGAGGAGGAGCAGACUGAAGACAAGAAGACUGACUAUUCUUGUUUGUACUUAUUGAUGAUUAUUUAAUUUAAUUUAUUCAAAGUGACAUUGAAUUUGCAAAAAAAAAAGUCUGGAUUAUUUUGAUAUUUUUUUAUUUUGCUAUUCUGUUUACUGUUUACAAAGUCAGCAAAGCUGUGAAGAUUUUACUUUCUCUUUUUAGUGUUCUUAAGUUUUAUACUGUGAUGCUGCUAUUGUGUGUUAUUGGUAUUGAGUUAUGUUUGGUAAUAAAAAGUUAAACUGGCAAAAA